CUGAUUCACGCCUUUCAUGAUAGUCUCAAGUCGCCAUUUAACUGCCAUUACAUUUACUUGCCCCUUAGAAUCACAAGCACCCACAAAGUCGCUUUCGUCUUUGACCUUUGACAAAAGGGAUCUUAUCGUUAAGAACAUUACCAUUGGUCAAGUCAUUGGAUCUCAUUAUUAUCAUUAUUGGACAUUAAUUUACACAAUUGACCAACUAAUAACUACCUUCCAUUGAACAAUAAAGAUUUACCAUUGAAAUGAGACCAGGUAAACAAUUACAAUUCACCCAAAGGCAUUUAAAUAAAGACACAGAUUAUUUUCACAGGUAAAUUACAAUUCAAUUUGUG
Panonychus citri (citrus red mite) is the source of this 338-nucleotide long non-coding RNA. RefSeq lists it as uncharacterized. NCBI's taxonomy places the organism in Eukaryota, Metazoa, Arthropoda, Arachnida, Trombidiformes, Tetranychidae. The transcript has 3 exons. The record is from RefSeq and is a predicted model, not a curated record.